CUUCACCUACGGGGGGCAGCAGUGGGGAAUAUUGCACAAUGGGGGAAACCCUGAUGCAGCGACGCCGCGUGAGUGAAGAAGUAUUUCGGUAUGUAAAGCUCUAUCAGCAGGGAAGAAGCAAGACGGUACCUGAGUAAGAAGCCCCGGCUAACUACGUGCCAGCAGCCGCGGUAAUACGUAGGGGGCAAGCGUUAUCCGGAAUUACUGGGUGUAAAGGGAGCGUAGACGGCAAUGCAAGUCCGGAGUGGAAGGCGGCAGCUCAACUGCCGAACUGCCCUGGAAACUGUAUGGCUUGAGUGCAGGAG
This 305-nucleotide ribosomal RNA is filed under the name uncultured bacterium. RNAcentral describes it as "bacterial SSU rRNA". It matches the Rfam family "Bacterial small subunit ribosomal RNA", at positions 333 to 654 of the family's 1533-position model. The record is from RNAcentral.